GACGUAGGACACAAGCGUUAUCCGGAUUUACUGGGCGUAAAGCGUCUGCAGGCGGACAGGUAAGUUGGGCGUGAAAGCUCCGGGCCCAACCCGGAGAGGUCGUUCAAUACUGCGUGUCUAGAGGGUGUCAGAGGGGAGUGGAAUUUCCGGAGUAGCGGUAAAAUGCGCAGAGAUCGGAAAGAACACCAAUGGCGAAGGCAGCUCCCUGGGGCAACCCUGACGCUAAGAGACGAAAGCUAGGGGAGCGAACAGGAUUAGAGACCCUGGUAGUCCUAGCCCUAAACGAUGGAUGCUGGAUGUGGGGCCAUAGCGCUCCGUGUCGAAGCGAACGCGUUAAGCAUCCCGCCUGGGGACUACGGCCGCAAGGUUAAAACUCAAACGAAUUGACGGGACCCCGCACAAGCAGCGGAGCGUGUGGUUUAAUUCGAUGCUACACGAAGAACCUUACCUGGGUUUGACAUCUAGGUGGUAGUGAAGCGAAAGCGGAGCGACCCUUCGGGGAGCCUAGACAGGUGCUGCAUGGCUGUCGUCAGCUCGUGCCGUGAGGUGUCGGGUUAAGUCCCGUAACGAGCGCAACCCUUGCCCUCCGUUAUACGUGUCAGAGGGGACUGCCGGCGGUAAGCCGGAGGAAGGUGGGGAUGACGUCAAGUCAGCAUGGCCUUUAUAUCCAGGGCUACACACACGCUACAAUGGCCAGUACAAAGGGCAGCGAAGCCGCGAGGUGGAGCGAAUCCCAGCAAAGCUGGUCGUAGUUCGGAUUGCAGGCUGCAACCCGCCUGCAUGAAGCUGGAGUUGCUAGUAACCGCGCGUCAGCCAUAGUGCGG
This 824-nucleotide ribosomal RNA is filed under the name uncultured Chloroflexota bacterium. RNAcentral describes it as "bacterial SSU rRNA". It matches the Rfam family "Bacterial small subunit ribosomal RNA", at positions 524 to 1362 of the family's 1533-position model. The record is from RNAcentral. Lineage: Bacteria; Bacillati; Chloroflexota.